This is a long non-coding RNA of Melanotaenia boesemani (Boeseman's rainbowfish), 146 nucleotides long. RefSeq lists it as uncharacterized. The transcript has 3 exons. Lineage: Eukaryota; Metazoa; Chordata; Actinopteri; Atheriniformes; Melanotaeniidae. The record is from RefSeq and is a predicted model, not a curated record.
AUCCUGGUCCAGACAACUGCUGCUCGCUGGGUAUUUUCUCUUCUUCAGACCAUUCUCUGUAAACCCUAGACAUGGUUGUGUGUGAAAAUCCAGUAAAUACUCAGACCAACACCCAUGCCACGUUUAAAGGCAUUCUGAUGCUCAGU